Long non-coding RNA from Phyllopteryx taeniolatus (common seadragon), 1380 nucleotides. RefSeq lists it as uncharacterized. The transcript has 3 exons. The record is from RefSeq and is a predicted model, not a curated record. NCBI's taxonomy places the organism in Eukaryota, Metazoa, Chordata, Actinopteri, Syngnathiformes, Syngnathidae.
CUUCUCAAAAUGACUCUUUCACUGCUGCUCUCACUCCCCCUCACCGUCUGUGCUAUGUGUACAUCUGAGUGCUUAUUCGCUGUUUUUUUCACCCCUCCCUUUUGGUUCCCAGAGACCAGCUGUGUCAGGGCCUCUUAUUUUUGUCUUCAGUCGCUGCGGAGGCGAGGCUCCUUCCAAAACGAGCAUUGGGUAGUAUACUAUAUGUCUUUAUGUCCAUCUGGUGUCUUGACAGCUGAUACCUGUAUUUAUUUAACAUUUUCAGACUGAGAGUUUUUCUCAUUUAUUCUCAUAUUCAUGAGAGUUGGUUAAAAAAAAGAAAAGAAAAAGAAACAAUGAUCCAUUCAUGUUGUCUACUCCUUGGGAAAGAGGCCUAAAUGCCCAAAAAAUACUGGAUUAUUUCAGCUAACCAAAUGCUGGGUUAUGUUCUUCCCAUGAUGUGUUGAUUUUGGGUUAAUAUUGUGCUGGGUGGCGGCAUGGUGGACGACUGGUUAGAGCGUCAGCCUCACAGUUCUGAGGACCCGGGUUCAAUCCUGUGUGGAGUUUGCAUGUUCUCCCCGUGCUUGCGUGGGUUUUCUCCGGGAACUCCGGUUUCCUCCCACAUCCCAAAAACAUGCAUUAAUUGAAGACUCAAAAUUGCCCGUAGGUGUGACUGUGAGUGCGAAUGCUUGUUUGUUUGUUUGUGCCCUGCGAUUGGCUGGCAACCAGUUCAGGGUGUACCCCGCCUCCUGCCCGAUGAUAGCUGGGAUAGGCUCCAGCACGCCCGCGACCCUAGUGAGGAGAAGCGGCUCAGAAAAUGGAUGGAUGGAUUGUUCUGGGUCAAAUCUCUCAAUCCAAGAUGGGUUGUUUUAUCUGCUCAACCGCUUGGUCUGGAAAUGUUUUACCCAUUAUGGAUUCAUAUUUUGACUUUAUACCAGAACUUUUCAUCCCAUCUGACCACAUGUCAUCACAUCACGCUCCCUGUCGGGCCUUUGCCACCUUUCACUUUACCGAUAUUUUUUUUCUGUCCGCCAUAUUGGAAAGUGAAGACGCUGGAUGUUCUUGGCUUUCACGAAAACUCAAACAAGGAAAUGGUGACGAUAAACACAAGGACGAGGAACAUAAUCACAGAAGCCAAGCCUAUCAGCGCCUCCAUUUGAGUGUUGCUCUCAGCAGCUAAAAGGACAGGAAAGCAUAAUGUUGGGGGUUUCAAUAUCCCGGUCAUAAUCCCAGCGGAAGCCAAUCGAAGGAGAUGAGCAGCAGUUUGUUCCUCCUGGGAGACCCACUCAAGACAGACUGCUGCCCAGAAACAGAAUCCCAUGUUGGAGCAGGAGUGCAAGGUGGAUAAAAAAUGCAGCAAGAAACUAAGCAAAGCGACAGUUUUACUAAUCGGUUUGACAUUUU